ACCCUUAGAUGUUCUGGGCUGCACGCGCGCUACACUGUCGGAUUCAGCGGGUCAUAUCCUUAACCGAAAGGUUUGGGUAAUCUUUUGAAAGUCCGACGUGAUGGGGAUUGAUCAUUGCAAUUAUUGAUCAUGAACGAGGAAUUCCUAGUAAGCGCGAGUCAUCAGCUCGCGUUGAUUACGUCCCUGCCCUUUGUACACACCGCCCGUCGCUACUACCGAUUGAAUGGUUUAGUGAGAUCUUCGGAUUGGCGCCUACGCGGCUUCUCUGAGGCCACGCUGGAUGCCGAAAAGUUGCUCAAACUGUAUCAUUUAGAGGAAGUAAAAGUCGUAACA
Molecule: ribosomal RNA, 333 nt
Filed under: uncultured eukaryote
Lineage: Eukaryota
Description: partial 18S ribosomal RNA
Rfam family: Eukaryotic small subunit ribosomal RNA
Source: RNAcentral